RNAcentral lists this transfer RNA (72 nucleotides) under Ovis aries (sheep). It matches the Rfam family "tRNA". From Rfam's summary of the family: Transfer RNA (tRNA) molecules are approximately 80 nucleotides in length. Their secondary structure includes four short double-helical elements and three loops (D, anti-codon, and T loops). The record is from Rfam by way of RNAcentral. Lineage: Eukaryota; Metazoa; Chordata; Mammalia; Artiodactyla; Bovidae.
UCCCUGGUGGCUCAGAUGGUAAAGAAUCUGCCUGUAAUGCAGGAGACCCAGGUUCGAUCCCUGGAUUGGGAA